GACGAACGCUGGCGGCGUGCCUAAUACAUGCAAGUCGAACGGAAAGGCGCGGCUCUUGCUGGUCUCUCGUGUGGCGAACGCGUGUGUAUCACGCGAGGAUACCCUCCCUGACAGUGGGAGAACACUAGGAAACACGGGCGCAUAUCGGAUAUGAGCUUCUGCUGCACGUUGGGGGUAGGUGAGAUUCGGCGGUUGUGGAUGGACUCGCGGCUUAUCAGCUUGUUGGUGGGGUAGUGGCUUACCAAGGCUUUGACGGGUAGCCGGCAUGAGAGGGUGACCGGCCCCAUUGGGACUGAGAUACGGCCCAGAAUCCUACGGGAGGCAGCAGUGGGAAAUAUUGCACAAUAGGCGGAAGCGUGAUGCAACGGCGCCGCGUGCGGAAUGACGGCUUUCGGGUUGUAAACCGCUUUCGACUGUAACGAAGAGUGAGUGACGGUAAUGGGUAAGAAAGCAACGGCUAACUACGUG
This 468-nucleotide ribosomal RNA is filed under the name uncultured bacterium. RNAcentral describes it as "partial 16S ribosomal RNA". It matches the Rfam family "Bacterial small subunit ribosomal RNA", at positions 28 to 507 of the family's 1533-position model. The record is from RNAcentral.